GAUGAAGAACGCAGUGAAUCGCGAUAUGUAGUGUGAUCUGCCUCUAGUGAAUCAUCAAAUCUUUGAACGCAUCUUGCACCCUUUGGUAUUCCAAAGGGUACGCCUGUUUCAGUAUCAUUAUAACCUUUCUCCCCAAGGCUUUUUGGCCAAGGAGGGAAAGAGCAUAACCGGUGGCCCAGCGGUCUCCCUUCAGGGGGAUUGUCUCGGCUGGAAUGACUGUUGCAAUGGUGGGCCAAAUGGUCUUCCGCACUUGAUAAAUGUACUUUUAUAAAGAGCGGGACCGGUCUGCCGAAAGUUGUAACUAAACCCUUUACCUUUGAUCUGAAAUCAGGCGGGAUUACCCGCUGAACUUAAGCAUAUCAAUAAGCGGAGGA
Molecule: unclassified non-coding RNA, 374 nt
Filed under: soil metagenome
Description: partial contains 5.8S ribosomal RNA, internal transcribed spacer 2, and large subunit ribosomal RNA
Rfam family: 5.8S ribosomal RNA (bases 1-117)
Source: RNAcentral